UAGAUUGUGAACCUUAUGCUUUGCUUGAGGAUUGGCUUAGUGAAAAGGCAGAUGAGUACUUGGACAACACUGUCGACAAGGUCAAUGUGAAAAAAGGUGGAGUGCGGUACAAACCUGAUCUACAUUUGAAUUCAAUCGAUCGCGACUAAAACAGUUUCAGAUCUUCUUCACAUAAAUUUGAUUUCUAAAUCGAUCGUUUGUCUCAAGCAACUCAGAGAAUUGGUGCUGCCACUGCAGCUGAAGUUAGAGCAACUGGUAUUCCAUAUGCUUUUGCCCCUUGUAUUGUUGUUUGCAGAGAUCCAAGAUGGGGUUGAUGUUACGAGAGUUACAGUGAGGAUUCCAAACUUGUUCAAAAUAUGACCGACGUUAUUCUAUGGUUGCAAGGUGAAAUUCCUAAAGGAUCACGUCUCGGUGUCCCAUACGUUGCUGGAAAGGACAAGGUAGCUGCAUGUGCAAAGCACUUUGUGGCAGACGGUGGGACGACUCUCGGCAUAGAUGAAAAUAACACCGUGGCCAAUCGGCAUGAAUUGCUAAGUAUCCAGGGUGUAUCAACAGUCAUGGUGUCGUAUUCCAGCUGUAACGGUUAAAGA
Helianthus annuus (common sunflower) is the source of this 590-nucleotide long non-coding RNA. RefSeq lists it as uncharacterized. Lineage: Eukaryota; Viridiplantae; Streptophyta; Magnoliopsida; Asterales; Asteraceae. The transcript has 5 exons. The record is from RefSeq and is a predicted model, not a curated record.